UGGGGAAUUGUUCACAAUGGGCGCAAGCCUGAUGACGCAACGCCGCGUGGAGGAUGAAGGUCUUCGGAUUGUAAACUCCUGUUGCUCGGGACGAAAAGCUCUGACCUAAUACUUCAGAGUCUGACGGUACCGGGUGAGGAAGCCCCGGCUAACUCUGUGCCAGCAGCCGCGGUAAUACAGAGGGUGCAAGCGUUGUUCGGAAUCAUUGGGCGUAAAGGGCGUGUAGGCGGUAUGUUAAGUCAUGUGUGAAAUCCCUCGGCUCAACCGGGGAAUUGCGCUUGAAACUAGAUCGCUAGAGUACGGCAGAGGGGGGUAGAAUUCCACGUGUAGCAGUGAAAUGCGUAGAGAUGUGGAGGAACACCGAUGGCGAAGGCAGCCCCCUGGGCCUGUACUGACGCUCAUGCAUGAAAGCGUGGGGAGCAAACAGGAUUAGAUACCCUCGUAGUCCCUGAGCGGGCUGGCAAGGCGCAU
This 471-nucleotide ribosomal RNA is filed under the name uncultured bacterium. Its description in RNAcentral is "bacterial SSU rRNA". It matches the Rfam family "Bacterial small subunit ribosomal RNA", at positions 355 to 825 of the family's 1533-position model. The record is from RNAcentral.